Small nucleolar RNA from Delphinapterus leucas (beluga whale), 142 nucleotides. Its record names the gene SNORA70. It matches the Rfam family "Small nucleolar RNA SNORA70". From Rfam's summary of the family: snoRNA U70 seems to be exclusive to mammals and is a member of the H/ACA class of snoRNA which contain H (ANANNA) and ACA box motifs. H/ACA box snoRNAs are involved in the conversion of uridines to pseudouridines (5-ribosyluracil) a constituent of structural RNAs (transfer, ribosomal, small nuclear, and small nucleolar). NCBI's taxonomy places the organism in Eukaryota, Metazoa, Chordata, Mammalia, Artiodactyla, Monodontidae. The record is from Ensembl.
AUGGGCAGAAGACCUAAAUAGACAUUUCUCCAAAGAAGACAUACAGGGGCCCGGUGCACAAUGGCUGCAAACAGCAGCCUCCUCGGUAGUGUAUGCAGCCUGUUGCCUGUGUGGGUUGCCCUAAGGGACCUUGGAGACAGCC